Non-coding RNA from Nicotiana tabacum (common tobacco), 250 nucleotides. The record is from RefSeq and is a predicted model, not a curated record. Lineage: Eukaryota; Viridiplantae; Streptophyta; Magnoliopsida; Solanales; Solanaceae.
AUGAGUAAUAAAGUAAUUUUUUCUUCCAAAGGGUACAAGCUUGCUAUUGUUCAAACCGAAAAUAAUCCAAGCAACAAGUUUGGAGGAGCUGGUAUGGUGACUGCUAUUUAUACUCCUCAUGUGAAAGGCCAACAACAUAGUGCUUGUCGGUUGAAAAUACAAAAAGGAUCAGAAAAUAUACAAGUUGGAUGGAGAGUGGAUCCUACACUUUAUGUAGAUGGUCGAAGUAGGCUAUAUACACAUUUUCAAG